Non-coding RNA from Acanthosepion pharaonis, 106 nucleotides. NCBI's taxonomy places the organism in Eukaryota, Metazoa, Mollusca, Cephalopoda, Sepiida, Sepiidae. The record is from the annotation of a GenBank genome assembly.
CAGCCACAUCACGUUGAAACACCGGUUCCUGUACGAUCACAGAAGUUAAGCAACCACGAGUCUGGUUAGUACCUAGAUGGGUGACCGCUUGGGAAUAUCAGGUGCU